AUUGAACGCUGGCGGCAGGCCUAACACAUGCAAGUCGAGCGGUAACAGGACUAGCUUGCUAGUUGCUGACGAGCGGCGGACGGGUGCGUAACACGUAGGAAUCUGCCCGGUAGUGGGGGAUAGCCCGGAGAAAAUCCGGAUUAAUACCGCAUACGCCCUAAGGGGGAAAGAUGGCCUCUUCUCGAAAGCUAUCACUAUCGGAUGAGCCUGCGUCGGAUUAGCUAGUUGGUGAGGUAAAGGCUCGACCAAAGGCGACGAUCCGUAGCUGGUCUGAGAGGAUGAUCAGCCACACUGGGACUGAGACACGG
RNAcentral lists this ribosomal RNA (308 nucleotides) under uncultured Endozoicomonas sp. RNAcentral describes it as "bacterial SSU rRNA". It matches the Rfam family "Bacterial small subunit ribosomal RNA", at positions 30 to 329 of the family's 1533-position model. Lineage: Bacteria; Pseudomonadati; Pseudomonadota; Gammaproteobacteria; Oceanospirillales; Endozoicomonadaceae. The record is from RNAcentral.